UGGGGAUUCGUCUAGUGGUAGGACAGCGGACUCUGGAUCCGUUAGCCGAGGUUCGAAUCCUCGAUCCCCAGCCA
This 74-nucleotide transfer RNA is filed under the name Chloroflexota bacterium. RNAcentral's name for it is "Chloroflexi bacterium (freshwater metagenome) tRNA-Gln". It matches the Rfam family "tRNA". Rfam says of the family: Transfer RNA (tRNA) molecules are approximately 80 nucleotides in length. The record is from RNAcentral. Lineage: Bacteria; Bacillati; Chloroflexota.